UGGAUCAGUGAUGACCGCUGGUGGCGUAUGAAUCGUAUAUGAUGAAUACUGUCUGCAACUCUGAGGUCCAA
This is a small nucleolar RNA of Neomonachus schauinslandi (Hawaiian monk seal), 71 nucleotides long. RefSeq annotates it as small nucleolar RNA SNORD113/SNORD114 family. The record is from RefSeq and is a predicted model, not a curated record. Lineage: Eukaryota; Metazoa; Chordata; Mammalia; Carnivora; Phocidae. The transcript has a single exon.